UCGAGAAUCUUUCACAAUGGGCGAAAGCCUGAUGGAGCGACGCCGCGUGGGGGAUGAAGGGCUUUGGCCUGUAAACCCCUGUCAUUUGUGACCAAAUUUGUUCGCUAAAUAGGCGAACAAAUUGAUGGUAGCAGAAGAGGAAGGGGCGGCUAACUCUGUGCCAGCAGCCGCGGUAAUACAGAGGUCCCAAGCGUUGUUCGGAUUCACUGGGCGUAAAGGGUGCGUAGGUGGUUGGGUAAGUCUGAUGUGAAAUCUCCGAGCUUAACUCGGAAACGGCAUCGGAUACUAUUCAGCUCGAGGUUUGGAGGGGGGACUGGAAUUCUCGGUGUAGCAGUGAAAUGCGUAGAUAUCGAGAGGAACACCAGUGGCGAAGGCGAGUCCCUGGACAACACCUGACACUGAGGCACGAAAGCUAGGGGAGCAAACAGG
RNAcentral lists this ribosomal RNA (429 nucleotides) under uncultured Verrucomicrobiota bacterium. RNAcentral's name for it is "bacterial SSU rRNA". It matches the Rfam family "Bacterial small subunit ribosomal RNA", at positions 355 to 776 of the family's 1533-position model. The record is from RNAcentral. Lineage: Bacteria; Pseudomonadati; Verrucomicrobiota.